UUCUGGCAAGGAGUGAUCAAUCAAACCCUGAUUUCCCAAGUCACCGAUGUAGUAUGCAAUGAGUAUGACCUAGUAUGAUGCUAAUGCAAUGUGAAACACAAUCCCAUGCUUCCAAGAAAAAUGAAGGGUAAAUUUUGGGGUAUUACACCUUGGAAACAAUAAAAGCGCGAUGGCGACUCUUGUUAUUUGAUCUCUAGCUUAUCCAUAGCUUGAUGAUCAUGAAUUUAUCGCUAUAGAAAUUAAGUAGCGACUCUGCUGGGG
Molecule: long non-coding RNA, 261 nt
Filed under: Lathyrus oleraceus (garden pea)
Lineage: Eukaryota; Viridiplantae; Streptophyta; Magnoliopsida; Fabales; Fabaceae
Description: Pisum sativum (pea) long non-coding RNA (PSAT_LNC030043)
Source: RNAcentral